GGGAGCUAAAUAAGGAAUUUUAAGGAAAACAGACACUGAGAACUGUUAGUGGAAUUUCUCUCUUCGGUUUCUGUUUUCACUGGCGUGGUGAUUGCAGGCUUUGAGUGCUUCAAACCAGUGCUGUGACAGCGCUUGAAGCCCCUCAGAGAAGGAUGGAGUUUUCGGCACCGAAUAAUUAAAUGGAAGGUGGGAACAUUCCUGUCGUGUGACCACACAAAGGAGUUCCUGGGCAGGGCCUUAGGUGUGCUCUCACGGUAAGCACUUGUAAGUCACGGUAAGAAGGAAGGCAGCUGUUCCUAGGCUGGCCGAGAGUCAGGAAGGAGCUUUUGCUGCUGAUCGUUGGGGAAGUGAAUGCUGCGUGCUUUGUGGUUCAGUGUGUGCUCUAAUAAGAUCCAUUUUACAUGUUUCUUUAAGAAGCCAAGCAGAAGAUGGAUACGCUCCUCUCUAAAACUCACUAUUAUUAUACUAAUUAAAUGGAUAAGCUUAAGCAGA
RNAcentral lists this long non-coding RNA (492 nucleotides) under Gallus gallus (chicken). RNAcentral's name for it is "long non-coding RNA NONGGAT001318". Lineage: Eukaryota; Metazoa; Chordata; Aves; Galliformes; Phasianidae. The record is from RNAcentral.